RNAcentral lists this ribosomal RNA (411 nucleotides) under uncultured bacterium. RNAcentral describes it as "bacterial SSU rRNA". It matches the Rfam family "Bacterial small subunit ribosomal RNA", at positions 1 to 328 of the family's 1533-position model. The record is from RNAcentral.
CUUUAUUCGUACUCGACGAAUGCAUCUAGAUUAUNAGUUUGAUCAUGGCUCAGAGCGAACCGCUGGCGGCAGGCCUAACACAUGCAAGUCGAACGAACUCUUCGGAGUUAGUGGCGGACGGGUGAGUAACACGUGGGAACGUGCCUUUAGGUUCGGAAUAACUCAGGGAAACUUGUGCUAAUACCGAAUGUGCCCAUUCGGUGGGAAAUGAUUUAUCGCCUUUAGAGCGGCCCGCAGAUCAUGAUUACGCUACGUUGGUACGCUGUAAUAGGACCUACCAAAAGGCGAACCGAAUCCAGGUAAGCUAGGUCUUGAGNAGGAUAGAUCAGACCAACAAUUGGAGGACCUGNAAGACAACGGGCCCAAAAACUCCUAACAGAGAGANNGGCACAAAGCAAUUGGGNGGAAAUC